GGUUGGCGAGCGCCUUUCUGCGCCUUCAGGCAUUUUUGCUGAAGCUUUUGUCUGCGCUUGUGCGGGGAGGUUCCGGUAGCGUCCGGGAGACCCGGCCCAGCGUUUCUUCACCGGGAUCUUCAUUGUCCCAUGUUGGGCGCCAGGAAUGCUGGGGUGAUCAGACCCAGUACCAGGCCAUGGGGGCUACAAAGUCCAGCAGAGUCAAAGGAAAGAGAAAAGACAAGGUGGCAUAAAAUGACACUCCAAGAAUCUUUCACCAAACAGUUCUAGAGGCUGGGAAGUCCAAGAUCAAGAUGUCAGCAGAUUCAGUGUCUGAUGUGGACUCACUUCCUGGCUUACAGAUGGUGCCUUCUGGUUGUGUUCUCACAUGAUGAAGUUUCGCUCUUGUUGCCCAGGCUGGGGUGCAGUGGCGCAAUGUCGGCUCACCACAACCUCUACCUCCCGGGUUCAAGUGAUUCUUCUGCCUCAACCUCCGGAGUAGCUGUGAUUACAGGUGCCCACCACCAUGCCCAGAAUCUUCAUGCUGAGGAAAUGAACCCACCUGUUUGUGCCCUGCUGCACCUCCCUGUGAUAGACUGCCACGUUUACUACCUGAGACCGUCACUACGACAGUUACUACUGUUACUACCUGAGACCGUCAUUAUGAGACUGAAAGAAGGAGGACAAACGUAGAAAUGAAAGCUGAAGACAAAAGAAAUUAUUUUAAAGGAAGGGGUCAGGAGAAGAAGAGGGCUCCCUGCUUCUAGUGAGCAAGGGCAGCUGUCUGAGCCUCUACAGCCCUUCGUAUUUAUUGGGUAGAAAGAGCAGGGAGCAGGAGGUAACAAUUGGUCAGCUGUUUAAUUGAUCACAGGUUCAUAUUAUUACUAACAAGCUUCAGAUGUGCCUAAUUACAAGAAACACUUCGCUUGGGGCGUGACUGCCCUCAGCAUUCCCUCUGGGAAGCAGACGCCGUUUGUCAGUUUGACAACAUUCUGCAUUUAUGAGAAUAGUUUGCUGUUUACUCAUGUAGCCUCCAGUGGUAUACUGCGUUGAUCAUGACCCUCACUCUUUCGGCCUGCAACGCCUCCCCUCCUCCUGGGUCCAGGCCCCAGACCCAGCCACGCCUCUUCUUAACCUACAUGAUCAGGGCCAGGCAGAGGAAAAGAAGAGCCGUGAUGCCGAUUCCCAGAAACGCUCCGUUGGAGAAUGCCGUUGAGAUGAGUCCCUUCUUAUCUGCACACGGAGAGGGCCAGGAAACUACCACACCCCGGCCCAGGUGUUAGGACUUCCCAUUGUGUUUUCCUGUCUACAUACAGAUGCCACGGGUCUGCUGUGUCCCUCCGAGCUCCUGCUCCAACCACAGGACCCUACUCUUUGCCCCACUCAGCUUCUCCUCCAAGAACCUUGGCAUCCAGGCGGCCCCCUAACCUGGCAGCUGCAGGAUGGAUCCACUCUGGGCCCCAUGGAUGUUCCAGGCCUCACAGCUGAGCCUGAGGCCAGAGCUGAGCCCUCCUUGGAGGUUCAGGGAGCUGUUGGCCCAGGGCCCGGCUGAGCUGGGGGUGACCUCGAAGGAGUCCUGGCUGCUGUUUCCCUCCAGCAGCUCCUCCCCAAGCCACCAGCGCAGAGAGGGGGCCGGGCUGGCUUGGGAAGAGCAGCUGCAAUGCAGACCCUCAGCCUCCCAGGAGCAGGAGGGGCCCAGCAGCUGUGGAGGGUCUGAGGGGAGGGAGGACAGGACUCAGAAGGGGCCCCUUCCUGGGACCCAGGUGCCCCCCUUUCCCCCACUCACAGUGCACGGAGAGGCUGAGAGAGACGAGCUGGGAGCCCAGUGGGUGCCAAGCCUGGCAGGUGAACUCUCCUUCGUGCUCCAUUUGAACCCGAGGCAGCUCCAGGACCCCGGGGUCUGAGGACUGGGAGGGGCUCAGAAUCUGUCCCCCCCGGGUCCAGCUCAGCCUGGCUGGGGGGCUGCUGUGGGUGACACAGACCAGGCGCAGGCUUUGGCCCUCCAGGACUGGGACAGACGUGCCAUUCCCAAGGUUUUCCAGGACUAGGGAAGGAAGAGGCAGAAUCGAUGUGCAGCUCAGGACUCAGGGACCCUCUUGCGUGGGGACCCUCCAGACUCCUGGGCCCCGAAUUCGGCACUGAGAGGCCCUGGCUCCUCUGUCUCCUUUCCUACCUGUCCUGUUUGCCUGGGAAACCAUCACUCUCAGGUUCUCUGGAGGAUCUGAAAUGGAGACAGGGGACUGGCUCUAGACGGACCAGGGGCUUCCCUCUGGGUAAAGGGAAGCAUCCUGGAGACUGAGGUGGGGGAAGUGGGUGGGAUAGAAGGGCAGUGCAGAAUCACCCACUGAGUCCCAGACACAAACUGCAUGAGGGUCUACACAGGUAAGAAGGUUGGUCCCCGAGGCCUGGGGCUCCAGGCCCCCUCAGCUCUAGGACCCUGAGCCCAGCCCCUGUAUCCCUCUGCCCUCCCAAUGGACUCCAGGCCCCUGCUGGGCACACUCACACUGCACAGAGAGGUCCAGGGCUCGCUGCUGAGAGCCAAGCCUGUUCUCCGCUCGGCAGGUGUAGCGCCCUGAAUCCCCAGCCUUCACCCCGGGCAGCUCCAGCCCCAGGGGUCUGGGGCCCCAGGGAUGGGACGAGGAGAGGACUCUAUCCUGCAGGACCCAGCUCAGUGUGGCAGGGGGCUGGCUGUCAGCAGCACAGAGGAGCCGCAGGAACUGGCCUUUCUGGGCUUCCAGGGCUGCGGCGGCAUCCUGGGACCCCACAGCUUCCUCUCCCUGGAUGCUCCUGAGCUGGGAGCCACUCACUGCCCCUCUGGGCUCCUCCCACCACCUACCCACCGGGUCUGUCUGAAUGCCCCACCCUCCCAGGCCAUGCUCACAGGCCACGCGGAGUCGGACCGUCCUCUGUGCGCUCACACCCUUUCUGGAGAAGUCCACAUGGCAGCUUCCUCUCUCCACCCGAAAGAAGUACUGUGACUCAUCCUGCAUCUGCGCAUCUCUGAUCACCAAGGAGCAGUUCCCCUUGGCAGGAUCCCCAGUGAGCUGGAAUCGGCCCCGGGUGCUCAUUUCCA
Pongo pygmaeus (Bornean orangutan) is the source of this 3052-nucleotide long non-coding RNA. RefSeq lists it as uncharacterized. Lineage: Eukaryota; Metazoa; Chordata; Mammalia; Primates; Hominidae. The transcript is spliced from 9 exons. The record is from RefSeq and is a predicted model, not a curated record.